Molecule: non-coding RNA, 1181 nt
Organism: Epinephelus lanceolatus (giant grouper)
Lineage: Eukaryota; Metazoa; Chordata; Actinopteri; Perciformes; Serranidae
Source: the annotation of a RefSeq genome assembly
UCAAACCAAAGCUUUUUAUAAAAAGGAAGUAACACAUUCCUAAUCAAUACUCUGGUAAAGUGAUUGAUCCAUUGAUAGUCAGCAUCAUCAGAGUAAUCCAAGUCCCUGUUGGAGUCAGUCAGAGCAUUUCCAUAGAGAGCCACUUUGCAUCAGCAGCACCAUGCUCCAGUGCUCUGGGAGAGUUUAUAGUCCUGAGAGUUGAACACUGGAUGACUGACAGCUGUCCUUCAUGACAACAGAAGCCACAGAAAUCCUCCUCAUCAAAAACAUGACUUUGAUCUCCGUCCUCAUCUGGACUCUCCUCUGCUGCUGCUUCACAGAGUCCAGAGGUCAGGUCACAGUGACUCAGUCUGGAGCAGUGAGCUCUGCUGUGGGAGGCUCUGUCACCAUCACAUGUAGGACCAGUCAGAAUGUUUAUAACUCUAACCGCUUAGCCUGGUACCAACAGAGAGAUGGAGAAACUCCUAAACUGCUCAUAUACUCUGCCAGCACUCGAGCAUCAGGGAUUCCAGGUCGUUUUACAGGCAGUGGAUCAAACUCUGACUUCACUCUGACCAUCAGUGGAGUCCAGACUGAAGAUGCAGCAGUUUACUACUGUCAGAGUGGACACUACAUCAACAGUCAGUGGUUGUGGACUUUUGGUGGAGGAACCAGACUGGAUGUUGGACGUGAUGUCCGUCCCACCCUGACGGUGCUGCCCCCCUCCAGUGAGGAGCUGCAGCAGGGGAAGGCCACGCUCAUGUGUCUGGCCAACAAGGGCUUCCCCUCAGACUGGAGUCUGACCUGGAAGGUGGACGGCAGCAGCAGCAGCAGCAGCAGCAGCUGGGAGGAGAGCAGGAGCCCUGGGGUGCUGGAGAAGGAUGGAGUGGUGCACCUGUGAAGAAUGCAUUACGAUGCCCACAGAGGAGCAGAAUGUUUGCUGCAAAUAAGUAAAUGCAGUCCAGAAUAGAUGUGGAGAGCUGCCCAAAGAGCCGAGGUGCAUGACCCUUCAUCCAGGCCUUGAACCUGUGUGCCUGAACCCCUACUCCCUUCAGAAUGCACUGAAUGUAUACCAGGCAGACCAUGGGCCUCUGGACAUACAGGAAAGAGCUGCAUAAGUUAGACAAUAAAAUAUAUUUUAUUGACAUUUAACAAAUUUAUGCUUUCAUUAGUGAUCUUGAUUAAUGUACUCCACUGGAAAA